This is a long non-coding RNA of Girardinichthys multiradiatus, 1177 nucleotides long. RefSeq lists it as uncharacterized. Lineage: Eukaryota; Metazoa; Chordata; Actinopteri; Cyprinodontiformes; Goodeidae. The record is from RefSeq and is a predicted model, not a curated record. The transcript has 2 exons.
AUUCCGUCCAGUUCUCUGCUCCAUGCAUGUUUUCUCCAUGACUCCAGUUGUUCCAGCUAUUUCUGCAUGAGUUCUACAACGCCUGGGCAUGCUCCUGAUGAGACAGUGGAUGUUCUCCUGAGGGAUUUCUUCCCAGCCCUGGAUUAGAGCAUCAGUUAGCUCCUGAACAGUCUGAAGUGCAACGUGACGUUGGUGGAUCGACCAAAACAUGAUGUCCCGGAUGUGCUCGAUUGGAUUCAGGUCUGGGGAAUAGGUAGGCCAGUCCAUAACAUCAAUGCCCUCAUCAUGCAGGAACUGCUGACACACUUCAGCCACCUGAGGCCUAGCAUUGUCCUGCAUAAGAAGGAACCCAGGACCCACUGCACCAGCAUAUGGUCUCACAAUGAGUCUGAGGAUCUCAUCCAAGUACCUUAUGGCAGUCAGGUCACGUCUGGCGAGCACAUGGAGGGCUGUGCGGCCAUCCAAAGAAAUGCCUCCCCACACCAUUACUGACCCACCACCAAACCGGUCAUGCUGGAGGAUGUUGCAGGCAGCAGAUCACUCUCCAUGGUGACUCCAGACUCUGUCACGUCUGUCACAUGUGCUCAGUGUGAACCUGCUUUCAUCCAUGAAGAGCACCAAUGACGAAUCUGCCAAUUUUGGUGUUUGCUACCAAACGCCAAUCGUCCUCCACGGUGUUCAGCUGUAAGCAUAGGCAUUAAUGUGGAUGUCGGGCCUUCAUACCACCCUCUUGGAGUCUGUUUCUGACAGUUUGAAUAGAAACAUGCACAUCAGUGACCUGCUGGAGGUGAUUCUGUAGGGCCCUGGCAGUGGACCUCCUGUUCUCCUUGUACUAUUCUCUGCUGGCUUCCUGCUUCCAUGCUGCAAACUGCCUCCAGUGGUUUGUGUUUCCUCCUAUAUGUAAAUCUACACCUGGUAGGGGAGAUUGUGAUAGAGAUAUCAGGAUCAUUCACACAAGCUUAAGCAUAAGAACAUACCUAUGCAUACAUUAUUGGACAUGUGUGCAACUUAUACAUAAUUCAUCAGUUGACAUCUUAUUAGCUACUGUGCAAAAACAAACACAUAAAUCAGAGUAAUUUCAUGGUGCAGUGACCUCUGGUGAUAACCUCCUUAAUAAUCACACAUUUUCCAAGCAUAAAUAAAGAAUGAUGUAUAUGUUUUAUUUUUAAAAAGAAAA